AGCAAGAAUGAGUGGAGGGGGUACCUGUGGGCCCCACAAGCCUGGGUGGCGUGGCCAGGGGGGUGCCCGCGCCCCUAGGGCUUGUGGCCCACUGGUGUGGCCCCCAGACAGACUCUUUGUCCAAGUAUUUUACAAAUAUUCCAAAAAAAAUCAUACUAGAUUUUCACAGUGUUCGGAGAACUUUUAUUUUCGGGGUACUUUUCUACCGGACGCUAAAACAAAAAACAGGGAAACUAAACUAAAUCUAUCAUUUUUCUUCUAAGCAAUCUAAAGUGAAAGCUUGGAACAGAGGUUUGUGACUCCUCGAUUCAUCCAUCUCAUGGUCAUCGAAAGAAAUCCGUCAAUGGGGUUUAUCAAAUCCCCUCGACAAAACUUUCUCGAAUCACAAAAGAGAACGGAGAAUUUUCAAAUAAUCACUAGGUCACCUCAAUGGGGAUAUGUAUCUCCCGAACAAGCAAAUCAUACUUCAUUUUGACACGAGGAAUAGGGCAUUCAAAGCACCCGAUAAGAAUCGACGAAGUUUUUUCGAUAACAUUGAUGCAAUGUACUCGAUAUUGUUUCUUCGGAAAGUGCACCGUAUGCUCAUUACCAUUGACAUCGAAAGUGACAUUGCCUUUGUUGCAAUCUAUAACAGCCCCUGCAGUGUUUAAAAAGGGUCUUCCGAGGAUGACCACCAUGGCAUCUUCCUCGGGAAUAUCCAAGAUAACAAAGUCUGUUAAGAUAGUGGUGUUAGCAACCACAAC
This 743-nucleotide long non-coding RNA is filed under the name Hordeum vulgare. Its description in RNAcentral is "long non-coding RNA (HVUL_LNC000477)". Lineage: Eukaryota; Viridiplantae; Streptophyta; Magnoliopsida; Poales; Poaceae. The record is from RNAcentral.